UACGAAGGGGGCUAGCGUUGUUCGGAAUUACUGGGCGUAAAGCGCACGUAGGCGGAUAUUUAAGUCAGGGGUGAAAUCCCAGAGCUCAACUCUGGAACUGCCUUUGAUACUGGGUAUCUUGAGUAUGGAAGAGGUAAGUGGAAUUGCGAGUGUAGAGGUGAAAUUCGUAGAUAUUCGCAGGAACGCCAGUGGCGAAGGCGGCUUACUGGUCCAUAACUGACGCUGAGGUGCGAAAGCGUGGGGAGCAAACAGG
Molecule: ribosomal RNA, 253 nt
Filed under: uncultured bacterium
Lineage: Bacteria
Description: partial 16S ribosomal RNA
Rfam family: Bacterial small subunit ribosomal RNA
Source: RNAcentral